CGGCCCGGGCGGUCGCCAGGGGUUCGGGUGGCGGGGGUGACGGAGCCACAGGGUCGCAGGAUCAGCUGGGUUGGAAAAGACCGCUGAGAUCGUCGAGUCCAGCCUUUGACCGCACAUCUCCGUGUCAACUAGACCACGGCACUAAGUGCAACGUCCAGUCUUUCCUCAGCCCCGCCAGCGAGGGUGACUCUACCACUUCUCUGGGCAGACCAUUCCAAUGUCUAAUCAACCUUUCUGUGGAGAAACUCUUCCUAACGUCCAACCUAAGCCUCCUCUGGAGCAACUUGAGGCCAGUUCUUUUUGUCCUGUCACUUGUUGCCUGGGAGAAAAGGCUGACCCCCACUUGGUUGCACCCUCCUUCGCGGUGGUUGUAGAGAGCGAUAAGGUCUCAUCUGAGCCUCCUCCAGGCUAAACAGCCCCAGCUCCCUCAGCAGCUCCUCAUGGCACCUGUGCUCCAGACCCUUUACCAGCUUUGCUGCCCUUCUCUGGACACUCUCCAGCACCUCUGUGUCCUUCCUGAAUAGAGGGGCCCAAGCCUCACGGCCUCACCAGUGCCGAGUACAGGAUCGUGCUGACCACACUAUUUCUGACACGGGCCAGGAUGCCAUCGGCCUUCUUGGCUGCCUGACCACACUGCUGGCUCACGUUUGUUCAUCGAUGUCACCAGGUGUUGUCUCAGCCCUCUCCUCCUCUGGCCCAGUACUUGGGGCUUCCACAGAGAGCUGCCAGAGGAAAGCCAAGGGGACAAGCCAGGCCGUGGCUGGUGCCACAGUUCGGUGUCACAGCAGGCACAGAAUACUCUGGAAAAGCAAAGGUCUCAAGAAAACAUCAUAAAUGAGGAGCUACAGCAUAAAUAAAACUGGAUCUAAAAUACUAUUUCAACAUUUCUGAGGUAUUUUGAAGUACUGUCAGACAGGAGAUGACACAUGAUUCAAGCUUCAAAUCUGUUGUUCCCCAUUGUUGAGAAUAUUCUUGGUUUCCCAUCAAGUACGUACCAUGAAUUCUGAAGUAUUUUGAUAAAAUCUUGUACUUUCCUGCUCAUUCCUCAUCAUUGUUUAACCACUUAUUUUUUGACUUAAAUAAAAUGAACAUGUUGUUCAGGAGCUCAGCAGCAGAUUACUUAUUGUAAGAUCAAAUUGUAAGUUUGAUCCAUUAUCAAAUCAGUAGACAUACAGUGGAACUAAAAUUAGCUAUGUGUUUUGGAAGAAGCUGUCAUGUCAUAAUAGGUUGUGAUAGACACUCCAGACUUUCUAAAUAAUGCUUGUCGGCAGCUUUUCAUUCUACUUUUGAAACUGCUGUGACCUAAAAGUUUGUGAUGUAGGCAAGCAAUCAUUUCCUCAUGUUAAGAGAAGCAGAUGUCUUAAAUCUACGCACAGAUCUGAUAAGUAGCAAUAAAAUAGUCCUCUUGCUGAUUGAUCAGAUAUUUUACCAUAAACUGUACCUAUCUUACUAUUUAUAGGAAGCACUCUGGCAAAUAAUUAUGUCAUCCCUUUUAUUUCCCAAUAAACUCUGAGCUGUUUGUUUUCA
This is a long non-coding RNA of Vidua chalybeata, 1527 nucleotides long. RefSeq lists it as uncharacterized. The record is from RefSeq and is a predicted model, not a curated record. The transcript is spliced from 2 exons. NCBI's taxonomy places the organism in Eukaryota, Metazoa, Chordata, Aves, Passeriformes, Viduidae.